RNAcentral lists this ribosomal RNA (449 nucleotides) under uncultured bacterium. RNAcentral describes it as "partial 16S ribosomal RNA". It matches the Rfam family "Bacterial small subunit ribosomal RNA", at positions 338 to 795 of the family's 1533-position model. The record is from RNAcentral.
CCUACGGGCGGCUGCAGUGGGGAAUUUUGGACAAUGGGGGCAACCCUGAUCCAGCCAUGCCGCGUGCGGGAAGAAGGCCUUCGGGUUGUAAACCGCUUUUAGCCGGGAAGAAAAGGCGAGGGAUAACACCCUUCGUUCUUGACGGUACCGGCGGAAUAAGCACCGGCUAACUACGUGCCAGCAGCCGCGGUAAUACGUAGGGAGCGAGCGUUAAUCGGAAUUACUGGGCGGAAUCCGUAAGCAGGAGGUUAAAGCCCCGGGCUCAACCUGGGAAUGGCAUUGGAUACUGGCGGGCUUGAGUGUGGCAGAGGGGGGUGGAAUUCCGCGUGUAGCAGUGAAAUGCGUAGAGAUGCGGAGGAACACCGAUGGCGAAGGCAGCCCCAUGGGCUGACACUGACGCUCAGGCACGAAAGCGUGGAGAGCAAACAGGAUUAGAUACCCUAGUAGUC